This 427-nucleotide ribosomal RNA is filed under the name uncultured bacterium. Its description in RNAcentral is "partial 16S ribosomal RNA". It matches the Rfam family "Bacterial small subunit ribosomal RNA", at positions 355 to 774 of the family's 1533-position model. The record is from RNAcentral.
UAGGGAAUCUUCGGCAAUGGACGAAAGUCUGACCGAGCAACGCCGCGUGAGUGAAGAAGGUUUUCGGAUCGUAAAACUCUGUUGGUAGAGAAGAACGUUGGUGAGAGUGGAAAGCUCAUCAAGUGACGGUAACUACCCAGAAAGGGACGGCUAACUACGUGCCAGCAGCCGCGGUAAUACGUAGGUCCCGAGCGUUGUCCGGAUUUAUUGGGCGUAAAGCGAGCGCAGGUGGUUUAUUAAGUCUGGUGUAAAAGGCAGUGGCUCAACCAUUGUAUGCAUUGGAAACUUGUAGACUUGAGUGCAGGAGAGGAGAGUGGAAUUCCAUGUGUAGCGGUGAAAUGCGUAGAUAUAUGGAGGAACACCGGUGGCGAAAGCGGCUCUCUAGCCUGUAACUGACACUGAGGCUCGAAAGCGUGGGGAGCAAACA